CCGGGAAGCUGGCUGCGUUGGAGUCGCCGUGGGGAUGCUGUGCCGGGGGCUCCAGGAGCAUGGGAGGGAUGUCGAGGAGGGUAGGGCGGCGGCAGCCUUGGCUGAGCGGGCGUGCGCCGCCGGUGUUGGAGUGGAGUGGGGCAGAGCGGGGAUGGUGAGGCGGACCGCCAAACCCACCCAAGCCGUGGCUCGGGAAGCGUUGGAGAUGGUGACCGGGAAGGGUGGGGAGAGCCUUGUGAGCGACAGACGUGCAGCCGACCUGCCGGAGGUGUGGACCUGCAUACUGGGGAGCGGCCCUGGCCGGCCAAUGAAUGGGAGCUGGAUUCUUU
This 329-nucleotide long non-coding RNA is filed under the name Androctonus crassicauda. Lineage: Eukaryota; Metazoa; Arthropoda; Arachnida; Scorpiones; Buthidae. The record is from RNAcentral.